GCCAGCAGCCGCGGUAAUACGUACGGUUUUGCGUAAAUCGGAAUUACUGGGCGUAAAGCGUGCGCAGGCGGUUGUGCAAGACCGAUGUGAAAUCCCCGAGCUUAACUUGGGAAUUGCAUUGGUGACUGCACGGCUAGAGUGUGUCAGAGGGGGUUAGAAUUCCACGUGUAGCAGUGAAAUGCGUAGAGAUGUGGAGGAAUACCGAUGGCGAAGGCAGCCCCCUGGGAUAACACUGACGCUCAUGCACGAAAGCGUGGGGAGCAAACAGGAUUAGAUACCCUGGUAGUCCACGCCCUAAACGAUGUCAACUAGUUGUUGGGGAUUCAUUUCCUUAGUAACGUAGCUAACGCGUGAAGUUGACCGCCUGGGGAGUACGGUCGCAAGAUUAAAACUCAAAGGAAUUGACGGGGACCCUCACAAGCGGUGGAUGAUGUGGAUUAAUUCGAUGCAACGCGAAGAGCCUUACCUACCCUUGACAUGCCACUAACGAAGCAGAGAUGCAUUUAGGUGCUCGAAAGAGAAAGUGGACACAGGUGCUGCCAUGGCUGUCGUCAGCUCGUGUCGUGAAAAUGUUUGGGUUAAAUUCCCGCAAACGAGCGCAACCCCUUGUCUCCUAAU
RNAcentral lists this ribosomal RNA (618 nucleotides) under uncultured Ralstonia sp. RNAcentral describes it as "bacterial SSU rRNA". It matches the Rfam family "Bacterial small subunit ribosomal RNA", at positions 507 to 1117 of the family's 1533-position model. Lineage: Bacteria; Pseudomonadati; Pseudomonadota; Betaproteobacteria; Burkholderiales; Burkholderiaceae. The record is from RNAcentral.